RNAcentral lists this ribosomal RNA (497 nucleotides) under uncultured bacterium. RNAcentral's name for it is "partial 16S ribosomal RNA". It matches the Rfam family "Bacterial small subunit ribosomal RNA", at positions 28 to 507 of the family's 1533-position model. The record is from RNAcentral.
GAUGAACGCUGGCGGCGUGCCUAAUACAUGCAAGUCGAGCGAACAGACGAGGAGCUUGCUCCUCUGACGUUAGCGGCGGACGGGUGAGUAACACGUGGAUAACCUACCUAUAAGACUGGGAUAACUUCGGGAAACCGGAGCUAAUACCGGAUAAUAUAUUGAACCGCAUGGUUCAAUAGUGAAAGACGGUUUUGCUGUCACUUAUAGAUGGAUCCGCGCCGCAUUAGCUAGUUGGUAAGGUAACGGCUUACCAAGGCAACGAUGCGUAGCCGACCUGAGAGGGUGAUCGGCCACACUGGAACUGAGACACGGUCCAGACUCCUACGGGAGGCAGCAGUAGGGAAUCUUCCGCAAUGGGCGAAAGCCUGACGGAGCAACGCCGCGUGAGUGAUGAAGGUCUUCGGAUCGUAAAACUCUGUUAUUAGGGAAGAACAAAUGUGUAAGCAACUAUGCACGUCUUGACGGUACCUAAUCAGAAAGCCACGGCUAACUACGUG